UCUCAUAACCGGUUGAAAAUAGCUAUUAGUUAAUAAUAGGGUAAAUAGAAUUUGAUUUAGCUAAUAUUGCGUGUAUUUCGACUCCUAAAAAGAAAUAGUACUGUAGCAUUUUUUUUGCAAAACAGGAAAAUUUGUUGAGUUAUUUCUAAAAGGUUUUUUAGUAACACUAAUUGACCAAGGCAGUUCACAAGAUAGCGUAUAGCUCUGAAUAGACCAUUUCGGAGAUUAUGCGCCAUUAUGAAUUUGCGGAACUCGGUGGUGCAAGUUGAACUUUGGACUUCACGUUUAUUCAGUCAUUUGCCUUGCGAAACUGCUGGCGGCAGGACAGUUUUGAUUUUUGAUAUCUGUUUUUAUCUUUGUGAUACUAAUUUUAUGAUAUAUAUUUUGAAAAAAACUUUUAUUAGGCACUUAUUUGUACUUUUAAUUUCUUUUUGUACAAUAAAGGCAACUUAAUAUAUCCUAAAAGCCUUUAAACUAGCUAACUAGCUAGAGGUCUCCCAAAAAUGCUUUUAGGACACUGUACUGUAGCUAGCUAUAAGGCUGUAAUUAGUAAUUAAUGCUUGGUUAAAGAAAUACCUUACUGGAUUUGGACUUGAACUAUGUUUUUGGAUUUGUAAAGAAAUGUUUAGGUUGUAAUAUUUGUAAAGAUCUAGAGAGUUAUAAUCCAUUGUCAAAAUACUUGUCAAAACUCUAUAGUGUUAUUUAUUCCUAAAGUGAAACUUAAGCUCGCAAAAUAAUCUGGCUUCUUUUCUAUAACGGAUGUGAAAAUUUUCAAUACACUGCCCAUAGAGAUACGGUAACAGGUUCAGUCGCAGAUUUUAGGAAUAGAGUCAUGAGUCAUUUUAAUUGCAAAUAAUUUUUAUUAUUUUGAUAUUUUUAUAAUUUUGUUUCUCGGUGUAUGUUUGACCCUUGAUUCGUCUACUUAAACACUCCUAUCUUUGAGUCUUUCAAGAGUGUUAUUAGAAAGAAUACCUGUCUUUCUUCCCUGCUUUCGCUAUUGCCCUAUAAUUUUUUUGUACGCUUCUCUUAUUGAAAAAUAUCAAAAAGGGAGAAAUGAGUUUAGUUUACAGACUAAAGUGUUAUUCAAUUUUUUGUUUUUCUAUGUUAUUUGUUUCAGUCACAAUGUAUAUUUUACAUGAUUUUUUGUUAUAUAUAUACGUAUGUCUUUGUCGGUUUCUUUAUCAGAACACGCAAUUAUAGUAGUAACUUUAUUACUAAAGUGUAAAUCUUUAUGAUAAAUAAAUAAAUUACUCUGUGAAGCUUGUUUGAAUUAUUGGCAUAAUAAGUUCCAUAGCAGAAAAAGCUAUUAAUUAUUAAUAUGGGGGGUGGUAAUAAAUUGAAAUGGGUCAUAAAAUUUUUCGAAAUUUGGUGUUGCUUGUUCAAUUUUUCAACACAAGUCAAUAAUAAAAAAAGGUAGGAAAUUAGCUCACUGAAGAGAGAGGGGUAUUUCAACUGGCAAUAUUACCUGUACAUAUAAUGUGACCCUCCUGAAAGUCAAUAUACUAAAUAAAAAUUUGACUACUUAUUUGAAUAAUUAUGGUAUCAAGUUAGCAAUAUCUCUACACUGUCUCAACUUAACAAGGAUUGUCCAGAUUUCAGACAUUUCUAGCCUAGUUAACUAAGUUUUCUUCGAGAUAUUAAAAUUGAGUUUCUUAUUUAAUAAUUUUCCAGUGCAAAACCGAAUUAAAAUCAACCAAUAAACAUAAAGCCAGCAUGACCACAUCUAACAUUAAAGAUUUCUUAAUACUGAUCACGUGAGCAAAAAACAAUAGAAUUUCUUGCCUUAAAGUAUUCACAAAUUUCUUUCAUACAAGACAAAAAAUAUCUUCUGAGCAAUUGUAUUUCAAUUGGCAUAACUGGUAUUUUAUUUAAUAAAGCAUGUUAACAUCAAAGAUAAAUGUAUCAUAAAUGUAAAAAACAACUUUUUAAGACAAAGCAUUCUUACUACUAAGUGAGCACACAACACUAUUCUUCUUGCUUUAAAAAAUAAGAUUAAAAUAAUUCGUUAACAAAAUUCAAUCUAGCUCAGGCUACAAAAAGUUAAUUAUAUGCUUAACUCAGAUAUC
Long non-coding RNA from Hydractinia symbiolongicarpus, 2066 nucleotides. RefSeq lists it as uncharacterized. The record is from RefSeq and is a predicted model, not a curated record. NCBI's taxonomy places the organism in Eukaryota, Metazoa, Cnidaria, Hydrozoa, Anthoathecata, Hydractiniidae. The transcript is spliced from 2 exons.